Molecule: transfer RNA, 83 nt
Filed under: Geodermatophilus pulveris
Lineage: Bacteria; Bacillati; Actinomycetota; Actinomycetes; Geodermatophilales; Geodermatophilaceae
Description: tRNA_Tyr_GTA
Rfam family: tRNA
About the family: Transfer RNA (tRNA) molecules are approximately 80 nucleotides in length.
Source: RNAcentral
GGGCGUGCGCCGACGAUGGAGAGUCGGGCCGGGCUGUAAACCCGGUGCCUCGCGCUUAGCAGGUUCGAUUCCUGCCACGCCCA